RNAcentral lists this ribosomal RNA (483 nucleotides) under uncultured bacterium. Its description in RNAcentral is "partial 16S ribosomal RNA". It matches the Rfam family "Bacterial small subunit ribosomal RNA", at positions 30 to 506 of the family's 1533-position model. The record is from RNAcentral.
AUUGAACGCUGGCGGCAGGCCUAACACAUGCAAGUCGAGCGGAUGAAGGGAGCUUGCUCCUGGAUUCAGCGGCGGACGGGUGAGUAAUGCCUAGGAAUCUGCCUGGUAGUGGGGGAUAACGUCCGUAAACGGGCGCUAAUACCGCAUACGUCCUGAGGGAGAAAGUGGGGGAUCUUCGGACAUCACGCUAUCAGAUGAGCCUAGGUCGGAUUAGCUAGUUGGUGGGGUAAAGGCCUACCAAGGCGACGAUCCGUAACUGGUCUGAGAGGAUGAUCAGUCACACUGGAACUGAGACACGGUCCAGACUCCUACGGGAGGCAGCAGUGGGGAAUAUUGGACAAUGGGCGAAAGCCUGAUCCAGCCAUGCCGCGUGUGUGAAGAAGGUCUUCGGAUUGUAAAGCACUUUAAGUUGGGAGGAAGGGCAGUAAGUUAAUACCUUACUGUUUUGACGUUACCAACAGAAUAAGCACCGGCUAACUUCGU